AGACCAGGCGAGACACAGCACAGCACACUUUUGGAGCGAGAUGGAAAACCCAUACAUAUACCCGUCCUCCUUAAAGAAAUUAGGUGGUUGAAAGUGGACAAAGAUGGAUUAAAACACCAGGCGUGAACAGACUGCAUGAGAACCUGGAAAAGGUCCAUUCUAGAAAGCCCUUCUGCCUCCGCAGGACGUCUGUAAUGAUGCCUGACUUGAAGGGGAACCAGCUGACCUCGCAUCCUUCCGCCAUCCGGAACUGAAUCGCUCCCUACAGCAAUCCCACAAAUGUUCCAUGUUGUCAGAAUGUCUUAAAUCCAAUUGGAUCAAAAACAUGGGCAGAAAGCCCAGAACUUUGUAAAGAACACCGCUUUGUUCAUGCAGAAUGAGAAUAUUUUCCAGCAUCCAAGUUUUGUUUAAGAGCAUAGGGUGUAAACACCAGCAUUCCCAUGUUAUAAUGGCAAGAGUCUGCUCUUUUUAGAUCUCAUUCAAGA
Long non-coding RNA from Pimephales promelas (fathead minnow), 485 nucleotides. RefSeq lists it as uncharacterized. The record is from RefSeq and is a predicted model, not a curated record. NCBI's taxonomy places the organism in Eukaryota, Metazoa, Chordata, Actinopteri, Cypriniformes, Leuciscidae.